GGAACCCUCUAUCUCAGAAGGCUGUUUCCUCAGGUGGAAGGUUCACCUGCAGCUUUCCGUCGGAUUGGCUCCGCAGAGACCUCAAUGUGAUCGGUUUCGGCUUGAUCGGUUGGCUUGCACCGUCCAGCGUUCCACUCAUCAACGGGAACAGCCUGACAGGGCUCUUCUUCAAUAGCAUUGGGACCGAGCUCGCUCACUGGCCAACCGGCCCCGCCCUCACCUCUGAU
RNAcentral lists this unclassified non-coding RNA (227 nucleotides) under Hevea brasiliensis (rubber tree). The record is from RNAcentral. Lineage: Eukaryota; Viridiplantae; Streptophyta; Magnoliopsida; Malpighiales; Euphorbiaceae.